AAAAAAAAUCUCUUCCACAUGUUGUGCAUUCUGAUGUUCAUUUUGCACCCCUCACUGCAGUCUACUACGACUAUGCUUUGCAAGAUUGUUGCGAGGCUUGCCUCUCUUUGCUCUCCAAUGUACAAUACGUGACUCACAGUUAGCAUCAUCAUGUUAUCAGUAGUAGGCCAUCAAUUUGCUUAUUUAUGCUAGUUGGUCCUAUAAGCAUCCAUCACCACAUAAAUAACUUUUUAGGGCAUGUACGUAUUAUCAUAUCAUCGGUUCGAGCUCUCAAGGAUGGCCUAAUUUUGGCGGGUACCGUUGGCUGCCAUAACGUAAUUCUUGACGCUGAUUGUAUGGAGUUGAUUGAUGUAAUGGUCAAUGGGGGUAAUUUGCUAGGACCAGCAGCGGCCAUCUAUGAACAAUGUCCUGAGUUGAAAUUUUUCUUCUACUACUUUUAAUCAUUGUCAUAGAGAGGCCAACACGGCGGCGGACGUUUGAGCUAGCAAGGCGGGGUGCGAUCGAUCCAUUGUUUGGCAAUCGGAGCCUCCGGAUUUCUUGUUGAUGUUUUGGCAAAUGAUGCAUUCAUAUUUGAGCCUGAAAUAUAAAACACCAUGUUGGUGUAUUGCCCUAAAAAAACAUCAUCAGUUUACUAGUGUCGUUUAUAUAAUGAUCAAACGUUAGGAGCACUUACCAAAUUGUUUGAAACAAUUACCACUUUUUCCUACAUAGCUAAUGUAUUACUUUGAAGGGUAUCUUUCUUUUAGAAAGAAAAGGGCACCAUAUUGUUUAGGAUAACUGCAAUUUUUUCAUUCUAUAUCAAAUUAUUUCGAGAAAACGUUAUCGCCUUUUUAAGAAACAAUUGCCAUAUUUUGUUUACAGAGCCACCGCACACAAAGAUGGUGGUGUGCACAUCUUCCUAUGAGAACUUUCGAACAUUUUUUAGAAUAUUUUUUAUAUAACAGAUUUCUUUGAACUGUUCUAUAUAACAGAUAGGGGAGCCUGUGUAUGUUUGCUAUAUUCCAGUUUCCUGCUGAAGCCUAAACUAAAUCAUUGUAAUAUUUUUUUAAAGGUCAUCCCACAAGGUACUUAAUUUCACUGUGGUUAUGAUCAUUUCAUUUUUAUUGGUUGUAACUAAUUUGACUCACGCGUGAUAGGUUAUGCCUGCACCCUUGAAGCUACAUUUAUAUGGUCACGUAAAUCACUGGUUGGUAUUCUAAAGAUAUUAACUUCGACAUAUAGAUCAUUGGUUGGUAUUUCAACGAGCCAGGACGGUUGAAUACUUGAAAAUCAUUACUUGUAUUAUUUCUUUGGAAUAACAUCAAAGAUAAUGAUUAGUGAUAGUGUAUUCAUCUACCUAAUUGCUUCAUCCAUUUUGUACGGUGAGUAUUUUAUAAUGCAUAUUCUUACAUAUUGCACAUAAUAGCCUCAUGCUAACGACAUAUAUUGCUCGUGUGCGAUAGUUACAAUCUUUGUACACUUGCUUAAAUACCAUGUGAAUUACGCCAAAGACAACAUAUCUAAGUUAUACAUGAAUUUCUUAAGCGUGUCAAAGUAGAUAUGUUACAUUACUUAGCUGAAUCAUUGUCUUAUAUACUUUAUACAAGUACGGCCUGUUAUAACAUUUUGGCCAUCGCAGGUGGCCCAAAUUUUGGGGAGCCUGAGCUGGUUGCAUGGUUAGAUUUUGCGGAAUCUAUUGGGCGCCUCUUGGAAGUAUGAGUGACAAACACCGUGGGAAUGAAGCUAAAGUCAACUUUCCUGAUAUUGUUAAAGAAUUUCUUAAGUGCAUCAUCUAGAUAUUGAUAAUUUUGUAAUAGAUGUUUAGAUUAAACAUCGCUCAGUUUGUUACAUGGACAUGUCGUUAGUCUUUCUUUUUGUUAUCAAUUUUCAUUGCAAAAUGGACUUCAAUUGUUCAGUAAUUGUGUUCGUGUUAUAUUGUUUAUGCAUGUGAAAUUUAACAUGUAACUCUUGUAAACUUUGUCAAGAGCCCGUGGCAACGCACGGGCACUCUACUAGUCUUGUUAAAGGAUGCUCGAAUGGAAGGUGCUCGGAUAUUGAGUACUUACCGAAGUGUCUGGAUGAUUGCAGUCAAGGCCGACGUCUUCGGUGGUGUCCGGCCAUUGCUCUCGUUCCCAAAAUAUAAUUUCCACAUCCCUUCGUGCGUAGUGCCGAAGAAGUGCUAUAGGGUCCGCCGCCCUUCUGGGUUAAACUCCCACAUACGGAGAGGCCGCCGCUGACAUGGCAAGAUCGGGCGGACCAACAUUACUUGAACGACAUUCACAAGAUCGAUACCCUUCUCGGUAAGGCUUCAGAUGCGACUUUGCAGAGUCCGCACUUCAUUGACGAAUCCCCAGUCCAAUCCCUUAUUGAUCCAUGGAGCAAGCUGACUUGGAGGGCCGGGGUGGAACGCCGGCAUAGUCACCCACUUGGAGCCUCUCGGCUCAUUGAUGUAAAACCACCCUUGCUGCCAAAAGUCCGAGGACUUGGCGAAAGAUCCUUCAAACCAAACCGCGCUGGCAAGCUUGUCAAUUAUGACGCUGCCACACUCCGCCUACUCAUCCUCUGUCACCCGCGUCCUCACAUCGAAGGUCUUCAGUGACAAACCAAAGUGCGGAGGAGUCCGGAGGAAGGCCUCACUCAUGACGAUAAAUGUCGAGAUGAGAAGAAUAGAGUCCGGGGCCAGAUCAUGGAAGUCUAGCCCAUAGUAGUACAUAAGCCCCCAGACGAAGGGGUUGAGUGCGAACCCUAACCCAUGGAGGAAGUGGGAUACAAAUACUACCCUCUCACCGGAUCUGGGGAUAGGGAUGACCUGCCCCUGUGCAGGAAGCCGAUGACGAAUCUCCGUGGUCAGAUACCUCGCUUCGCGAUAUCCUCCUCUAUGACGGAAGAAGCCACCCACCAGCCCGGACGGUUGGACCCAGACAUGAUUAAGGCUGGUGGCGAUUAGAACCCGAGGUUUGAAAGUUGGGGUGGCUGGGGCUGAGGAAGGAGCAAGCGCAAGGGAAGAAGACGAGACUGGGUCCCUACAUAAAGGCCCCGAAUACUGGGCAUCUCCCCCUGGGUCUCUGAACUUACCUAUCACCAAGGAGUUGUACCCAGGCGACGGUUGAGUUACCCACGCCAGCAUUGAUGAAAAUCCCGUAAAUAAGGGAACACGAUCUUUGCCUUGACAAGACGUGCCAAUAAAACCGCGCCCCGAGAUGUGGGGCGGCCCACUAGCUGAUGGUUGGAAAUAGCGAACCGGGCAGGCGUGAUACGAUGUCAUGAAUAGUUAUCAACAAGCCGGGCUCGCGGAGUAUUGUAUUCUCCGUGAAUAUAUAUACAUACAGGUCCAGAUAUACUUACUUCAUCGAAAGACUACUCUGGAGUUCGGAAGGAGGGAACCCGCCUUGCAAUGCCGAAGACAAAUAUGUGUGCCGAACUCCUCGUCAUUGAAGCUAGGUUCAGGGGCUACUGAGGGAGUCCUGGAUUAAGGGGUCCUCGGGCGUCCGGCCUGUUAUCCAUGGGCCGGACUGAUGGGAUGUGAAGACAUGAAGACCGAAGACCAUACCCGUGUCCGAAUUGGACUCUACUUGGCAUGGAAGGCAAGCUUGGCGACUGUCGGUGUCAAAACCGGCGGAUCUCGGGUAGGGGGUCCCGAACUGUGCGUCUAGGCAGAUGGUAACAUGAGACAAGGGACACGAUGUUUUUACCCAGGUUCGGGCCCUCUCGAUGGAGGUAAAACCCUACUCCUGCUUGAUUGAUAUUGAUGAUAUGGGUAGUACAAGAGUAGAUCUACCACGAGAUCAAGGAGGCUAAACCCUACAAGCUAGCCUAUGGUAUGAUUGUUGUUCGUCCUAUGGACUAAAACCCUCCGGUUUAUAUAGACACCGGAGAGGGCUAGGGUUACACAGAGUCGGUUACAAUGGUAGGAGAUCUACAUAUCCGUAUUGCCAAGCUUGCCUUCCACGCCAAGGAAAGUCCCAUCCGGACACGGGACGAAGUCUUCAAUCUUGUAUCUUCAUAGUCUUGGAGUCCGGCCAAUGAUGAUAGUUCGGCUAUCCGGACACCCCCUAGUCUAGGACUCCCUCAGUAGCCCCUGAACCAGGCUUCAAUGACGAUGAGUCCGGCGCAUAUAUUGUCUUCGGCGUUGCAAGGCGGGUUCUCCUCCAAAUUCCAUGUGCUUGCCAAAUAGUGUCCAGCUUCCUUAUAAAUGUUGCGCUCCUUGGCUUUCACGUCCAAUAAUGGCCCUCUUCCACGUGUCGUAUGAAUGCUAAAAGCCAGGGUAUUUUUACGUUUUACCCCCUAGCUGCGCAAAUAAGCUGCCUAUAAGAGAGGCGAGGAUCUAGAUCCGAACCACACCAUCCUCCUUCCGCGAGUACUCAUCGAAGCGCCUCUGACAAAAAUUCACUCCAUCAUGGACAGUCGACGCGACUCCUCCUCUCGCGCUCCCAGCCCUUAGCUAGGAGAUUGGAGGAGAUGUUCAGUUCCGCAUAGCGAGCUAGUGACGCUCUGAGCAGAGGGAUACCAUCCCCCAGCCUUCAUGGUUCCGGUUCGAGCCGGACUGGCCACCUACAAGGGUGGAAAGCAGGCGGAGAGCGUCCCCAAUCCCUCCAAAGGAGAGCGGGUAUGCUUCGUCCCUUAUCUAAUAAGGGGACUCAGAUUUCCCAUACAUCCGUUUCUCCGGGGGCUCCUGGAGUUCUAUGGACUCUAGCUUCACCACCUUACACCUGCCUCCAUCUUGCACAUCGCGGGUUUUGUAGCCCUUUGCGAGCUGUUCUUGGGCAUCGAGGCCCAUUUUGCGCUGUGGAAGAGAUUGUACCCCGUUCUCACGAGGGGUCGAUAUAUCAAGUGGGCGGAGCCGAAAUAUGGCGCAUCACAGGGACCGGAUAUGUAUCCGGAACCCCGAAGAAGGCGUCCGAAGACUGGCCUUCGGAAUGGUUUUAUAUGGAAGACGCCCCACUGCCGGACCCAAUUCGGAUCGGCCUCCCGGAGUUCAGCAACGCUCCCCUAAAGAAACGCCUGAGUUGGCGCCCGCGGAUCCCUCAACGGGAGAAUGAUAGGGACGUCCAAUAUCUAAUAGGCCGGAUAAGGUUACUGGAUCAUUCCGGAUUGACCAUGAUUGGAGUCAUGGCCACGUGCAUCAUGCGGGGGGUGCAUCCGCUCCAAUACAGGGGCCACCCCAUGUGGGAUUUCAACGGGGAGGAUGACGCCACCCGUCAUGGCAGCAAGGGGCCGGGAUCGGUUGCCGAUCUUGUGAAGAUCCUGUCCGGCUUGUACAAGGGGGAGAAGGAGGACUUCCUCCACGCGAGUCCAUUGAAUGGAUUCUCCAUGAAUAACCCUCGGAGCUGGGUAAGCGGACAUUUAUCUAUUCGAUCCAUAUUCCCAAAGUUAAGUGUCUCACUUUGUUACAUCGACGCAGGAACUGCGCCGGGACGUAGAGGGCAUACUCAGCCCGACUCCACAGCCCGAGGAUCCAGGACGAUCCCUUGAUCCGGCCUCCGAAGAGGAUCCGGACAUAAAGGUGGAGCUGAUCGAUGGGGUAUUCCACCAACUUAGCAUGGACAAUGCUUUGGUCGCCAUUACGGCCGACUACCCCGGUUUAUCUCCGGCUUCCCAGGUAACUGUGAUCGGAGUCCUGACAUCAUUACUCAUCCAUGCUUAUUUCUGACCAUCGUAUACCAACGGUGCUCCGCAGGAGGUGCCUUUAGGGCGGGAAGCCGAACCCGCGGCGGCUGACCAACAAGGGUCAGUUCGGCCCAGCAGGCGGAAGAGGAGUGCGGCGCGACUCGAAAUGUCACCGCAAUGGUAUGACGCACCACCGUGUUUAAAGGAAAGGUUCCUAGGAGGUAUAUUAACGCUCACGAUUUUUCCAGGAGAAAGAGCGCUCGCCGGACUGUGUCCGGAGAGGUUGCCAAUCAAGCCUCCGCCAACCAGGCUCCAACGCCUGGUCCGGAGGGGGAGGCGAACAUAAGGCGUGAGCCAGAUGCUCCUCCAACGGAGGAUGCCGACAGGCUAUUCGCCACCAGGUCUGAGGUGGAGAGCGCCAUGAAUCAUAGGCGCCGCCGGACAGUUCUUCGUGACGCAUGUUUCUCCCCGGAGGCGUUGAAUGCCUUUAAUACGGGAGACACGCACCUCCGUGCCGCUCGAGAUGGUCUAACUAGAGCCACGGAGAAGUAUGUGAAAGACAUACGGGUGAGGAAUUUUAAUAGUUAUAUAUGCCAGUAGCCCCCGAGACUUAAAAUAGUUAGAAUAGCUGAUUUAAGGAUCAUUUGUUAUGUAGGAUCUUACGGAGAAGAAUACCCACCUGUCCCAGGAGCUUCAAGGGUGCAAGGCCCAACUUGAGGCCGCACUAGCCGCCGCAGGGGGAGCCACAGAGACCCCCUCUGGUAAUACAUACUUCGAAAAGAUAAGAAGUUUAUGAAGUGCGGCGUGCGUAUAAGUCUGACACUAAUAUUGCAGAUGGUGCCGGACUUGAUCCGGACAAGCAACAGCUACUGCGCCAGCUGAAGGCCGGCGAGAAGGUGCUUAUGAGGGUGCAGCAGGAGAGGAACAAACUCCAAGAUGCCAACACCCAGCUGGGCGAAGAACUAAAAGGUGUUUGGGCCCAGCUGUCUGGCUCCGUGAAGGAGAAUCGGCGGCUUCGUCGCGGCAUUUACAGUAAGUGCUUGAGCAAACUCUUUUGAAAAUAAGAGUUCGGCGAGGAAGUCGAUUGACAGAAAUGUGUCUGUAGGUGUGCUCACAGGUCGUCCUACGGAGGAAAUGCCCAAUUCAACGGGUGACCUACUUCCCGAGCUGCUGCAACUGCACGAACGUGUUCGGCAGGUGAUGAGCGGCGUCGCCCAGGCCUUAUGGCCGUCCAUCUCCCUACCCGAGGGUCUUGGAGGGCUUGCGAAAAAGCUUCAGGGAGCACGGCAACGCUUCCGUCUAUGGAAGAUAUCGGCAUGCCGUCAAGGCACCCGGGAGGCCUGGGCCAUGGUGAAGACGCGGUACACGAAGGCUGAUCCCAACCACAUGGCCGGGGUCGGACCUGUGGGGCCUGAUGGGAAGGAGAUCCCUGUGAGCUUAAUGUACGGCCAAGUAGAGUUGGCCGCUAAGUAUUCCCAACGGGACUAAACUAGACAGCCUGUUAGAUGGGAUUGAAGAGGAGUACAAUAAGUCAAUUUGACGAUGUAAUUUAAAAAUGACAUGUAAAAUGCCUUCUAGCCGGAUUGUAGAUCGUUUGUCUUUGCGGACCUUUUCGCUUCAACCUCGGGAUCCAAAAGUCCGGAGUGUGUCCGAAUACCCUCACGGUAAUGUAAAAACCGGGGCAUGCAUGGAUACCAGGCGUAAGGGUCAUUAGUGCUUUAUCAAAUAAGUGCCCAACUAGUUAUGUUAUAUUACAUGGUUAGUAAGAAACAUCUUCCAGGGAGAAAUAGUUCCGUUAGGGGUUCCUUUCCCUGAGAGGCAUGUCCUAAAGUGCAUGUCCGGACUGCGAAAAGAGCAGAAAAGCAUCUGGGGGCAGAUAAAUAAAUUUAUAAGGAAUCAUCUUUCAAGUCACCGACCGAAUAUCUAUCUAUUAUAUACUUAAAACAAAAGGCAAACAAGCCAUUACAUGCGUCCACAUAGAUCAAAUUAUCUUGAUCCUUUAUUUUAUCUUUUAACGGCUGAGAUUAAAAGAUGCAAACGUAACGUAAAAAUAUGUACAUGUACAAGUAGUAUAACAUGCCACGUACAAAUAGUGCACAUAGGUUCCAUCCAAAUCGUCAACUAGCCCGCAGAAAAAAAAUCUUUUAAACAAUGGGUCAAGGAAGCAAAAAUAGUAGGAAACCUAAACAAAUAAGGACAACGAUUGGACCUAACCAGACCUCACGUGAGGAAGUUCCAAAACAGGAGCCAAGACAUGAAAAAAAGACAGGUUUCCGAUCUUCUUUCACGGUCUCGGCCACCUCAACCCACGCACCUCCACCCAUAUAUAAACAAGUACAGCCGGCCGCAAAAGCAACACCAAAAAUUUGGAAGUCGGCAAGCAAGAUGGCUUGAAGACAUCACACGCGACUCGGCAACUCAGAUGGCUUGAAGACAUCACACGCAACUAGGCAACUCGACGUUUGAUACGCAAAGCCACCUCCAGCCACUUCACUCUACGUCCGACGAAGUCACGCCAAAGCACACUCAACGCAUGACGAAGCCAUGCCCAGCUACUCCAAUCGACCUCGGAAGAAGUGACGCCAAAGCACUUUUGGCCUAAAUCAUCAGAUAAUUUGGUAAUUGUUAGUAACAGUCUUAUUUUCUCCGGAUAGAAUCUUUAUAAACACUAUAUCAAUUGACAAAUUGUUCCCUAUUAAUAUUCAAGGCAAAACAUUCAUCAAGAAGUUGAGCGACUUAAAUACAAGGGGACGGAACAUGCAAGAAGUUGAGCGACUUAAAUACAAGGGGACGGAACUAGAACGUUCAUCAAGUAAAACAAAUACGAAUGUGGUAUUCAGUCAAUCCUACCACUGAUGAGCUUAUUAGCCCAGAUAUGAUAUAAGUGCAAAGGAUCAUCAGAAAUCGACCAAACAAUCAGUGCGGAGAUCUCGGACAAAGAUGUUAAUCCGGACGGAUAUGAAGCUGUUGAAAAUUUCAUGAUGCACAUGCCUUGCAGAGAGGCAAAUACAAAAUCACCAUGCAUGAUGGACAACAGAUGCACUAAACACUUCCCAAAAGGAUACAAUGUCGAUACCACAAUCCAUGAGGAUGGGUUUCCGAUAUAUAGAAGGUGAGACAAUGGAAGGAAGAUCAAAAAGGGAGGAGCAAUGCUCAACAAUAGAUUUGUCGUACCAUACAACCACAACCUUUUGGUCAAUUCCAAGGUCACAUAAAUGUCGAGUGGUGCAACAGGCCCAGGUCAAUCAAGUACCUAUUUAAGAACAUCCAUAAAGAUGACGAUCAGGUAAUGGCCUUACUAAAGGAAAGAGAUGCGUCAAACGACUAUGAUGACAUCAAGAAAUACCUAGAGAUGAGAUACAUAUCAACAACUGGAGCAUACUGGCGGAUAUUCCAGUUUGAUCUACACACCAUCGUGAUCCACCAGUCAAGAGACUACCAUUCCACAUUGAAAAUGAUCAAGAACUUAUUUUUCUGGACUCGACUGACAUUGAUAAGAUAGUAGAAGGCCAGGAUCCACGAGUAUAAAGUUCACUGAGUGGAUGGAGGCAAACAAAAUACAUGAGGCGGGAAAAGAACUAACCUAUGCAGAAUUCCCAUCAAAAUUUGUAUGGAAAAGCGAAACCAAAACUUGGGGAGCCGAAAAGGGGCUUCGCUAUUGGAAGAAUCUACUAUGCACACUCUGCAAGUGGCAACCGGUAUUAUAUGAGAAUGCUUCUAAACACCAAGAAAGGAUGCACAUCAUUCAGGAUAUUGGAACCGUUAAUGGAGCUGUUCACCCAACAUACAAAUAAGCAUGCCAAGCACUUGGAUUUCUUGAUGACGACAAUGAGUGGAUUGAAUGCAUCAAUGAAGCAUAAUGCUGGGGCUCAGGGACACAAUUACAAUAAUUAUUCACCACAAUUUUAUGCCAUUGUGAGGUGACCAGCCCAAAGAUUUUGAGGGAAUCAACAUGGGAGGCACUGUCUAAAGAUAUCCAGUACAAAAGAAGAAUUAUCCUUAACUUUCCUAUGCUGCAGCUCACUGAUUCACAGAAAAAGGCAUAUGCUCUGAUUGAGAUAGAGAAACUAAUGAGGCAAGAAGGAAAGACACUAAAGGACUAUCCAGAUACAUAACUACCAAAUGCUACAGAACUUGAAGAACUUGGGAACAGAAUGAUAAACGAAAAACUUAGCUAUGGCAUGGAGGCACUAAAAAAUGAGCAGCAAACCAUAAUAAGCAAUGUUAACCAUGGCCAGAAAAUGACCUUUGAUGCAAUAAUGGAAUCAGCUGAGAAAGGACUUGGAAAAUAGAUAUUUGUAGAAGGCUACGGUGGCACAGGCAAAAUUUAUCUAUGGAAAGCAAUUACAACGAAGCUACGGUCAGAGGGAAAGAAAGUGCUUGCGUUAGCAUCAUCUAGCGUUGCAGCUUUGCUCCUACAAGGUGGAAGAACAGCGCACUCAAGAUUCUACAUUCCAAUAAAUACCAUGGAAGAAUCAACAUGUGAAAUAAAACAAGGCUCACAUUUGGCUGAACUGGUAAAGAAGACCUCACUAAUACUAUGGGACGAGGCUCCUAUGGCAAACAAACACUGCUUCAAUGCACUAGAAAUAGCCUUAGGGAUAUUCUAAGGUUCACAAACCAAAAUAGUGAAGAAAGGCCACUUGGUGACAUGAAAGUUGUGCUAGAAGGUGACUUCAGACAAAUACUUCAAGUGAUAACAAAGGAAAAGAUAGAGCAGAUAGUAAAUGCCUUGGUCAAAAGGUCAUACCUAUGGAAGUACUUCGAAAUAUUUAGACUAACUGAAAACAUGCGGCUAAAGUCUGUCAGAAGAUCCAAUAGAAAAGCAAAAUGUGGCCG
This 10425-nucleotide long non-coding RNA is filed under the name Triticum aestivum (bread wheat). RNAcentral's name for it is "long non-coding RNA (TAES_LNC018803)". The record is from RNAcentral. Lineage: Eukaryota; Viridiplantae; Streptophyta; Magnoliopsida; Poales; Poaceae.